AUGUCGUCCAGCGCGUCCGCCUCCGCCAUCGUCGCCGACAAGGUAAGCGGCCACCACGUACUCAAGAUCGAUGGCUUUUUAGGCAUGAUGGUCCUACCCAGCGGGGAGAGCGUCACGUCCUGCCCGUUCACGGUCGGAGACCAUCUCUGGCGAAUCAGUUGCUACCCCAAGGGGAAAGAUUUGUGGCACCGGGAGUUCAUAUCCCAGUUUGCUCUCAUCGGCGAAGAGCAGGCGAGCUUCUUCCGCAAGAAGAAUAAGCCAACAAAGGUCGCAUCGCGUAUAGAGAAGUUUGCCAGCAAAGGUGAUUCUUGGCAAUGUCUAACGUUCAUCAAGAGGACAGCGUUGGUGAAAUCCAAGUACCUCAAGGACGACUCCUUCACAAUCAGGUGCGACAUCGUCGUCUUCAAGAAGUCCUGCGCCCAAGAGGGGGCGGCAGAGCCCGCCCCACCAAGGUCCGUCUCCGUGCCGCCAUCCGACCUGAGCCACCACCUCAGCGGCCUCCUCGAGACCGGGAAGGGCGCCGACGUGGUGUUCGAGGUCGCCGGCCACAAGUUCUUCGCGCACCGCUGGCUGCUCGCGGCCCGGUCGCCGGUCUUCAAUGCGGAGCUCUUUGGGGCAAUGAAGGAGAGCGACGUCGCCGCCGGCGUGGUCCGCAUCGGCGACAUGGAGGCGGGGGUGUUCGAGGUGAAAGAUAUGAAGCGUUCCUACUCCAUCGAGGGAGCCACGUGGUAA
Molecule: ribosomal RNA, 732 nt
Filed under: Triticum aestivum (bread wheat)
Lineage: Eukaryota; Viridiplantae; Streptophyta; Magnoliopsida; Poales; Poaceae
Description: partial small subunit ribosomal RNA
Source: RNAcentral